UGAAACCGUGUACGUACAAGCAGUGGGAGCCUCUUAAUGGGGUGACUGCGUACCUUUUGUAUAAUGGGUCAGCGACUUAUAUUCUGUAGCAAGGUUAACCGAAUAGGGGAGCCGAAGGGAAACCGAGUCUUAACUGGGCGUUAAGUUGCAGGGUAUAGACCCGAAACCCGGUGAUCUAGCCAUGGGCAGGUUGAAGGUUGGGUAACACUAACUGGAGGACCGAACCGACUAAUGUUGAAAAAUUAGCGGAUGACUUGUGGCUGGGGGUGAAAGGCCAAUCAAACCGGGAGAUAGCUGGUUCUCCCCGAAAGCUAUUUAGGUAGCGCCUCGUGAAUUCAUCUCCGGGGGUAGAGCACUGUUUCGGCAAGGGGGUCAUCCCGACUUACCAACCCGAUGCAAACUGCGAAUACCGGAGAAUGUUAUCACGGGAGACACACGGCGGGUGCUAACGUCCGUCGUGAAGAGGGAAACAACCCAGACCGCCAGCUAAGGUCCCAAAGUCAUGGUUAAGUGGGAAACGAUGUGGGAAGGCCCAGACAGCCAGGAUGUUGGCUUAGAAGCAGCCAUCAUUUAAAGAAAGCGUAAUAGCUCACUGGUCGAGUCGGCCUGCGCGGAAGAUGUAACGGGGCUAAACCAUGCACCGAAGCUGCGGCAGCGACGCUUAUGCGUUGUUGGGUAGGGGAGCGUUCUGUAAGCCUGUGAAGGUGUGCUGUGAGGCAUGCUGGAGGUAUCAGAAGUGCGAAUGCUGACAUAAGUAACGAUAAAGCGGGUGAAAAGCCCGCUCGCCGGAAGACCAAGGGUUCCUGUCCAACGUUAAUCGGGGCAGGGUGA
This 831-nucleotide ribosomal RNA is filed under the name Escherichia coli. Its description in RNAcentral is "partial 23S ribosomal RNA". It matches the Rfam family "Bacterial large subunit ribosomal RNA", at positions 551 to 1382 of the family's 2925-position model. Lineage: Bacteria; Pseudomonadati; Pseudomonadota; Gammaproteobacteria; Enterobacterales; Enterobacteriaceae. The record is from RNAcentral.